UACGUAGGGUGCAAGCGUUAAUCGGAAUUACUGGGCGUAAAGCGUGCGCAGGCGGUGAUGUAAGACAGUUGUGAAAUCCCCGGGCUCAACCUGGGAAUGGCGAUGAAGACUGCAAGGCUAGAAUCUGGCAGAGGGGGGUAGAAUUCCACGUGUAGCAGUGAAAUGCGUAGAGAUGUGGAGGAACACCGAUGGCGAAGGCAGCCCCCUGGGUCAAGAUUGACGCUCAUG
Molecule: ribosomal RNA, 228 nt
Filed under: uncultured bacterium
Lineage: Bacteria
Description: partial 16S ribosomal RNA
Rfam family: Bacterial small subunit ribosomal RNA
Source: RNAcentral